GUGGGGAAUCUUAGACAAUGGGGGAAACCCUGAUCUAGCCAUGCCGCGUGAUCGAUGAAGGCCUUAGGGUUGUAAAGAUCUUUCAGGUGGGAAGAUAAUGACUGUACCACCAGAAGAAGCCCCGGCUAACUCCGUGCCAGCAGCCGCGGUAAUACGGAGGGGGCUAGCGUUGUUCGGAAUUACUGGGCGUAAAGCGCACGUAGGCGGAUAGGGAAGUUGGGGGUGAAAUCCCGGGGCGCAACCCCGGAACUGCCUUCAAAACUCCCAGUCUUGAGUUCGAGGGAGGUGAGUGGAAUUCCGAGUGUAGAGGUGAAAUUCGUAGAUAUUCGGAGGAACACCAGUGGCGAAGGCGGCUCACUGGCUCGAUACUGACGCUGAGGUGCGAAAGCGUGGGGAGCAAACAGGAUUAGAAACCCUAGUAGUCC
Molecule: ribosomal RNA, 425 nt
Filed under: uncultured bacterium
Lineage: Bacteria
Description: partial 16S ribosomal RNA
Rfam family: Bacterial small subunit ribosomal RNA
Source: RNAcentral